UCCCUGGUGGUCUAGUGGCUAAGGAUCCAGCGUUCUCAUUGCUGCGGCACUGGUUAGUUUCCCGUGCAAGGAA
Molecule: non-coding RNA, 73 nt
Organism: Pangasius djambal
Lineage: Eukaryota; Metazoa; Chordata; Actinopteri; Siluriformes; Pangasiidae
Source: the annotation of a GenBank genome assembly